CGACGAUGAGUCUCGAAUCGCCUUUUCAACUUGGAACAAGAGGGGGAAGUUCUUACCAAAGCAGCCGUAAGAGGAGACAUGGGAGAGACGGUGGAGGCAGAACACUGACCAGAACGGCAAAGGCAGCAAUGCAGAGCCACUCCGGCGAACCCUCCGGGAGAGAUCUGACCCAGAUCUACUCCGUGCGAAACCCUAGAUCUACCAGCUUGACGACGCCUCCAGCUCAGAUCCGGCUCACCACGACCUCGCCAUCUCUCCAG
RNAcentral lists this long non-coding RNA (260 nucleotides) under Brassica napus (rape). RNAcentral's name for it is "long non-coding RNA (BNAP_LNC012612)". The record is from RNAcentral. Lineage: Eukaryota; Viridiplantae; Streptophyta; Magnoliopsida; Brassicales; Brassicaceae.